AGAGUUUGAUCUGGCUCAGAUUGAACGCUGGCGGCAGGCUUAACACAUGCAAGUCGAGCGGAGAGAGGUAGCUUGCUACUGAUCUUAGCGGCGGACGGGUGAGUAAUGCUUAGGAAUCUGCCUAUUAGUGGGGGACAACAUUUCGAAAGGAAUGCUAAUACCGCAUACGUCCUACGGGAGAAAGCAGGGGAUCUUCGGACCUUGCGCUAAUAGAUGAGCCUAAGUCGGAUUAGCUAGUUGGUGGGGUAAAGGCCUACCAAGGCGACGAUCUGUAGCGGGUCUGAGAGGAUGAUCCGCCACACUGGGACUGAGACACGGCCCAGACUCCUACGGGAGGCAGCAGUGGGGAAUAUUGGACAAUGGGCGCAAGCCUGAUCCAGCCAUGCCGCGUGUGUGAAGAAGGCCUUAUGGUUGUAAAGCACUUUAAGCGAGGAGGAGGCUACUGAAGUUAAUACCUUCAGAUAGUGGACGUUACUCGCAGAAUAAGCACCGGCUAACUCUGUGCCAGCAGCCGCGGUAAUACAGAGGGUGCAAGCGUUAAUCGGAUUUACUGGGCGUAAAGCGCGCGUAGGCGGCUAAUUAAGUCAAAUGUGAAAUCCCCGAGCUUAACUUGGGAAUUGCAUUCGAUACUGGUUAGCUAGAGUGUGGGAGAGGAUGGUAGAAUUCCAGGUGUAGCGGUGAAAUGCGUAGAGAUCUGGAGGAAUACCGAUGGCGAAGGCAGCCAUCUGGCCUAACACUGACGCUGAGGUGCGAAAGCAUGGGGAGCAAACAGGAUUAGAUACCCUGGUAGUCCAUGCCGUAAACGAUGUCUACUAGCCGUUGGGGCCUUUGAGGCUUUAGUGGCGCAGCUAACGCGAUAAGUAGACCGCCUGGGGAGUACGGUCGCAAGACUAAAACUCAAAUGAAUUGACGGGGGCCCGCACAAGCGGUGGAGCAUGUGGUUUAAUUCGAUGCAACGCGAAGAACCUUACCUGGCCUUGACAUAGUAAGAACUUUCCAGAGAUGGAUUGGUGCCUUCGGGAACUUACAUACAGGUGCUGCAUGGCUGUCGUCAGCUCGUGUCGUGAGAUGUUGGGUUAAGUCCCGCAACGAGCGCAACCCUUUUCCUUAUUUGCCAGCGAGUAAUGUCGGGAACUUUAAGGAUACUGCCAGUGACAAACUGGAGGAAGGCGGGGACGACGUCAAGUCAUCAUGGCCCUUACGGCCAGGGCUACACACGUGCUACAAUGGUCGGUACAAAGGGUUGCUACCUAGCGAUAGGAUGCUAAUCUCAAAAAGCCGAUCGUAGUCCGGAUUGGAGUCUGCAACUCGACUCCAUGAAGUCGGAAUCGCUAGUAAUCGCGGAUCAGAAUGCCGCGGUGAAUACGUUCCCGGGCCUUGUACACACCGCCCGUCACACCAUGGGAGUUUGUUGCACCAGAAGUAGCUAGCCUAACUGCAAAGAGGGCGGUUACC
Molecule: ribosomal RNA, 1455 nt
Filed under: Acinetobacter calcoaceticus
Lineage: Bacteria; Pseudomonadati; Pseudomonadota; Gammaproteobacteria; Moraxellales; Moraxellaceae
Description: 16S ribosomal RNA
Rfam family: Bacterial small subunit ribosomal RNA
Source: RNAcentral